This 731-nucleotide ribosomal RNA is filed under the name uncultured Campylobacter sp. RNAcentral describes it as "bacterial SSU rRNA". It matches the Rfam family "Bacterial small subunit ribosomal RNA", at positions 28 to 776 of the family's 1533-position model. The record is from RNAcentral. Lineage: Bacteria; Pseudomonadati; Campylobacterota; Epsilonproteobacteria; Campylobacterales; Campylobacteraceae.
AGUGAACGCUGGCGGCGUGCCUAAUACAUGCAAGUCGAACGGAGAUUAAAUAGCUUGCUAUUUAAUCUUAGUGGCGCACGGGUGAGUAAUAUAUAGUUAAUCUGCCCCAUAGUGGAGGACAACAGUUAGAAAUGACUGCUAAUACUCCAUACUCCUUCUUAUCAUAAGUUAAGUCGGGAAAGUUUUUCGCUAUGGGAUGAGACUAUAUCGUAUCAGCUAGUUGGUGAGGUAAUGGCUCACCAAGGCUAUGACGCGUAACUGGUCUGAGAGGAUGAUCAGUCACAUUGGAACUGAGACACGGUCCAAACUCCUACGGGAGGCAGCAGUAGGGAAUAUUGCGCAAUGGGGGAAACCCUGACGCAGCAACGCCGCGUGGAGGAUGACACUUUUCGGAGCGUAAACUCCUUUUGUUAGGGAAGAAUAAUGACGGUACCUAACGAAUAAGCACCGGCUAACUCCGUGCCAGCAGCCGCGGUAAUACGGAGGGUGCAAGCGUUACUCGGAAUCACUGGGCGUAAAGGACGCGUAGGCGGAUUAUCAAGUCUCUUGUGAAAUCUAGUGGCUUAACCACUAAACUGCUUGGGAAACUGAUAAUCUAGAGUAAGGGAGAGGCAGAUGGAAUUCUUGGUGUAGGGGUAAAAUCCGUAGAGAUCAAGAAGAAUACUUAUUGCGAAGGCGAUCUGCUAGAACUUAACUGACGCUAAUGCGUGAAAGCGUGGGGAGCAAACAGG